CAACAUCACUGCUUAUUUUUCAUUGCGACUCCACCAGAAUGUUUGCUCUCUCUCUUGCUUCUACGCAAGCUUUCGCGCUGGGAUGUGUCUGAGAUUUGUGCUAGGGAUGCCGUAGCGAGUCUUUGGUAGGGGCCCUGUCGCCCAGCGUACAGGUUAUCACAAGAGCCUGUGGUAUGCACUAGCUCGGGUCAGAGGGAUAGUGCGCUGAGUCUGUUGUGGGUUGAGCGGAUUGCAGCGUAAAUACUAGUGUGAGGGGGAUUCUACUGUUAAGGCCCUACCUGGACGGUGCGCAUGAAGAGAAGCUCUGCUGCAGUGCUUGUGUCCGCUAGGGUUUGCGGCGAGACUUGAGUUUUGGAGAGCGUUCCUCUGAAGUAGGUUUGUCGAGAUUUAUCGAGGCUGUGGGGAAGGGAAGCAAGUUUUGUCACCCUAUUUCAGAGCUUCUCAAUUUCCGAUUAUUUGGGUUGCGAAGAAUUGAGGUGGUGUCCAAUUUCUAAAUGGUUCGGCUGUGGGAAUGAAGAGUGGUCCUCGAAGCGCGGUUUUAGGCACGAGCAUCUUACAUUCCCUUGUUGCAUGAAACCCUUUGCCGCUCUGUUCCUAAUAUAGGUUUUCUUGGAAUUGGUUUAAUUAAGGGCCUGCUCACACUUGCAUGUCAGAUAUAUUUCAGCUACUAUUCAUUAUCUCUGUUCACACACAAUCUAGAUGCUUGCCUUUAUUUUUAAUUUUUUUUAUUUUAAAAAAACUAAAAUAAAAUAAUACGAUAAUCGUAAUAUAAAGUCUUAAUAAUUUGAUUACUAUGAAAUCAUAGUUUAAUGAAAAUUUUUAAUUUCCAAAAUAAUUUAAAAAUGGUUUUUUAGAUAGUUUUUUUAGUUUUCUAUAAAAAUAUUUUUUAGUUUUUUAUGUAUAGGGCCAAAUAAGUAGACAUUCGAUAUGUAAAUUUAAUAACAUUUUAAUUGUAAGUUUUGGUCAUAUUAAUGUAAAUUACAUAUAUCAAAUAAUUUCAGGAAAAAGAACUAUCAUAAUUAUAGAUUUUUUUUAAUUCAAGUUAAGUAUAUCAAUGAUAUUUUAAUUAUAUUUAGAAGCUUUUAGUAGCUAAAAUUUAUAGGAUGUAAAAAAAUAAAAUUCUAAUGAGGGUAUAAUUGUGUGUAUGAAGGUUGAUUAUGUAUAUCAUCUAAUUAUUCAUGAUGGAUAAUCUUAUAGAAUUAUUCACAAAAUAUAUUUUAAGUAAUUGGAUAUUUAUUAUGAUCUUUUGUAUUUUGGGAUUUCUAGCUAUUAUCAAAUUUAUUAUUAAAUUCAUGCAAAGUGUUGAAUUUGUAUCAAAAAAAUGGAAAAAAGAUAUUAAUUUUUUUUUUCAAUGCCAAAUUUAUAACAAAGAAAUUGAGGUAUUAUUGGAGAUAAAAAUCCUUAUAAAUAGAAAUCAAUGUGUAAAUCUUUAUAAAUUAUUUAAUAAUAUAAUAAAAGUGCUUGAAAGCAUAAAGAUUUAUAAUAAUAAAAUAUUUAAGAAUAAUCUUUUGAUUAAUGAAUUUUGAUAUUGUCAUAGAUAUAUACAUUUAUCCCAAUAGUUACUUAUAUGAUUAGGAAGAAAUAGGUAAAUAUAGAUUAAUUUCAUAAAGUCUUCUAGAAAAGCUUCGUAGAAGCUUUAUAGAUGUGGUUUUGACUUUAGGUGUAUUUAUAGGUUAGAAACUUGGCCAACAAGUUAACUCCAUGUAGUAGCUUGUAAAACAAGCUAACUAUGUGGCAUAUACAUGGAUAACUUGCCUUGCAAGUUAAGAUACAUGUUUUGUAAAGUCAGUAUAUUUUGGAAGUCUUUUUGGACAUUGCCACGUGACUCCUAGUUAAGAGUAUAUAUAGAGUCAUGAAUGAAGCCUUCUUCAUUCUUGUCAAUGCAUUUUUAGUCUUUAGUCUUGUUUCAAGAUUAUUUAGUCUUCUUGUUUUUGGCAAUAGCCAUUCUAGUUUAAUAUUACAUCACCUUUUGAGUGACUUUCUAGUUCUCUUCAAUGAUACAAGAAUAUAUUAAGGAUUUUUUUUCUUCGAGAUUCAUGUCCUUGACAAUUUGACAAGAGUACUAAUAUACUAUUUUUGUCUUGUUUUAGAAGUAAAUGGAUUACUCCACUUCUAUUGUUAUAUUUUAAAGGUUAUGGACUACCCACCUUUAAACAAAAAAUCUUUUUUUUAACAUUGAUCUUUUCUUUUAAAAGAGUGGAUUACACCUUUUUGUAGAAAUUUUUAUUAGAUGUUGUGGAUUACCCUCCUCUAAUUUAAUUUUUUGGAUUUAUUUGAGUUUUCUACUCCUAGCAAUAGUGAGAAUAGAUUUGCAACUAUUGGGGAUCUUCAUGAGCUUAUCAACACUUUUAGGGCUGAAAUUUCAUGCAUCACCAACAUCAACCAUGGAAGCAAUACUUCUAUACCUAUGGAAGUAGUCCAAAAUCUACGUCAAGAAGUUGUGCAGUUGAAGGAAAUAAGUUGAUCAGCCUCACAACCAAAUUCAAAGGGUCUUCCUUCUACAAGCUCAAGAGAGGUAAGAAUUAGUAUGCCCAAGAAGUUUGAUGGAAAAAGAUCAAAAUUUCAAUGAUUAUUAUAACAAAUUAAGCUCUACUUAGGGUUACACCCUUUCCAAUAUGCAAAUGGAUUUAUUCAAGUUUGUUUCAUAGCUGCACUUCAAUCUGAAAGUGCUCUUUUUUGGUUUACAUCUUUGAUGGAAAAUGAUUCACGACUUUUUUAUGAUUUAAAUUCAUUCUUAGAAGUAUUUAUGGCCGCAUUUGGAAUAAGCGAUCAAAAAUAAGUAGCAGAGACCAAACUAUUAUUUUUACGACAAGAAUCACAAUCAGCCACCAUAUAUGCUAUUGAAUUCUAAAACCUCGCUUGUCAUAUGGACUAGAAUGAUAAAACACUUAUCAAUCAAUUUUGAUAUGAAUUGAAGGAUAGCAUCAAAGAUUUGUUAUUAACAAUGCUAUAAGUAGACUCUUUAAAAUAAUUUGUUGCUCAAGCCAUUGCACGCAACAAUCAAUUAUUUAAAAGGCAUCAAGUAAAAAGACUUGACUGGACAAGAAGAAGACAAGUAAUGGUAGUAGCUUCCAAGUUUUUUAAAAAGUAUUCAUGAAGGCUGGAACCAAUGCAAAUUGAUACGAUACAUUUUAAAUCUCUCACGAAGUAGGAAAAGACUUCAUGUCGCUAAGAGAGUUUAUAUUUAUAUUAUAUAGAAGCUGAGCACACUACUGAAUAUUGUCUAAAAAAGCAAUGGAAUUACAAAAUGAAGAGCAUAAUUACCAAAAAAGAUAAUGUACCAAAAAAUGAGUUUCUUCAACUACAAUAGAGAUCGUGCAGCUAAAAUCAUAUGUAACACCUAGUAAAGGUCCUAUUCUCUCCUCAAAUCCCUCACCUUGUUUUACAGUAGAUGUAUCUUUAGGACAAAAAAAUUACAAAGUCUUUGUCUUAUUAGAUUACGGGGCCUUAGCUAAUUUUAUAUAUGAAGAUUUUGUCAAAAAUCAAGAAAACUAAAUCCAUACAUAUAUAAGUCAUAGAUGGUUGUUUAUUGUCUUCUGAAAAUGUUAUCCAUGAGAUUGUUUCUUUAAAUAUAGAAAAUAAAGAUCAUAACAACAUAAUAAUAUUUAAUAUAAUAAGAUCUCCCUUCAAUCUAAUUAUUUUAGAAUUAUUAUAGCUAAAAAAAUAUAAUCUAUAAAUAGAUUGGAUUUCUUGUAAACUUAACUUUUCUUAUAGUAUAAUCCAAGAUGAGAUUAGUGAAGUAGAAGUAUAUAAGUUUAGUACAUCCAAACCUUUACUAGUAGAUGUGAGAACUUUCAUGCAUGUUAUAUCCAUUUCUAAUGGUAGAAAAAUGUCAAGUAAUAUUCUUAGCCAAUAUCAAGAAUUUCAAGAUAUUUUUUUUUUAAAAAAUGUAGAUAUUCUUCUAAAGCAUUGACCUUAUGAUUGUUCAAUUGAUCUAUAAGGAGCUCAAUUACUAUUUGGACCAAUCUAUAGCUUAUCGCAAAAUGAGUUGGCUACAUUAAAUGAGUACAUUGAUGCAAACUUAGCAAAAAACUUCAUAUGCCAUUCUAAAUCUCCGGACGGAACUCCUAUCUUAUUUGUUUAGAAAAAUGAUGGAUCUCUAUGAAUGUGUGGAUUAUGAAGGACUCAAUAAGAUCACCAUCAAAAAUAUGUAUCCUUUGCUUUUGAAUUCAGGACUUCUUGACCAACUCAAUCAAGCAAAGAUCUAUAUCAAAAUAGAUCUACAAAAAAUAUACAACUUAGUUCAUAUCAAAGAAGGAGACAAAUAGAAGACUACCUUUUGAACUAAGUAUAUACAUUUUGAAUAUAAUAUCAUGCUUUUUAGACUCACAAAUGCACCAAGUGCUUAUCAACAUCUUAUGAAUGAUGUUUUUUCUGAGUUUUUAGAUGAUUUUGCCAUUUGCUAUUUAGAUGAUAUUCUAAUUUAUUCUAAGAACACAGAAAAACAUAAACUUCAUGUUUGUCACGUGUUACAGAAACUUAGUCAUAUAGGAUUAUAUGUCAAGUUAAAAAAGUGUAUAUUCCAUACUACUCAAAUUGACUUUUUAGAAUGCAUCAUUUUCAACAAAGAUCUUAUGAUGGAUCCCAAAAAGGUCCAAACUAUCAUAGAUUAGAAGAUUCCAAGAACAAUACUAAAUAUGCGAUAUUUUUUGAGCUUUGCUAAUUACUAUCGAAUCUUCAUCAAGAAUUUUUCUCAAGUUGGAACUCCACUUAUAUAUUUGACUUGUAAAGACAAACUCGAGUAGAGUAAAGAAGCAGAAGUAUCAUUUGAUGCUUUAAAGAAGGAGUUUACUUUUGCACCAAACUUGUAUUGUGUCGAUUUUUUCAAGGUAUUUUUAUGGAACCAAAUAUGUCAAACUUUGCUAUAGGUGUUGCAUUGUCACAAAUAGGAACAGAUGAUAAAUUCUAUUCAAUAGCUUUUUAUUCUAUGAAAUUUUUAGUAGCUAAGAUUAAUUAUGAGAUCCAUGACAAAGAACUCCUUACAAUCGUAGAUUCAUUUCAAGAAUGGCAUCAUUAUCCAGAAGGCACCUCAAAUCUAAUCAUCGUAUAUACAAAUCAUAAAAAUCUCAAGUACUUCAUGUCAGUAUGUAUUUUGAAUCAUCAUCAAGCCCAUUGGAGCAUGUCUUAUCUAGAUUCAAUUUCAAGAUCACUUAUCAAUCCGAUAAAGAUCUAUUUGAUGCCCUUUAUAGAUAUUCUUAUCUUGCACCAAGAGAAAGAGAUGCAUCUUUUGAUCAACAAAGAACGAUUUUCUUGAAGCCCAAACAUUUUCAUCUUUAAGCAAUAAAAUCAACAUUGACUAUUGAUUCAAUCUUUGUUAUGCAAAUUCAAUCAAGUAUGUCUUAUGAUUCUCUUAUUUAUGAUAUUAAGAAUACUUCCUCUAAGUCCUAUGUCACUUCAAAGUUUGAUUUUAAAAACAACUUAUUAUAUUUCAAAGAUUGCCUAUAUGUUCCAAAAGGUGAGGCACAAUUACCUGUCGUUCAAGUUUAUUUUAGAUACAACAAGAGUUUGGAGCUAAUAUCAAGAGAUUUUUGAUGGCUUCAAAUGUGAAAGGCAAUCAAAGACUUUGUAUAAUCAUGCGAUACUUCUUUAAGAUUCAAAACUCCUCGCCAUCAAUCUUAUGGACUUUUUCAAUUGUUACUUGGUUGAAAAACCAAUUCUAAAACAAUCAUUUUAUCAAUCCUAAAACAACCAAGGUCUUUUGUUUCUAUAGAUUUUAUCAUAGAUCUUCCAAUCUGAAAUUCAUAUGACUCUAUAUUUAUAAUUGUAGAUCGCUUCAUCAAAAUGGCACAUUUUGUAUAAUGUACAAAAUCUAUUUCAAGUGAAGAAACAGUUAAGCUUUUCAUUGAUAAUAUUUAUUGCUAUCAUGGAUUGCCAAAUAAUAUUAUAUUAGAUAAGAGGACUUAAUUUGUAUCAAGAUUCUAAAGAAUCCUAUUCAAGAUUUUAAAGGUGGAUAUAAAACUUUCUUUGGCUUUUCAUCUUCAAAUUGGUGGACAAACAAAAUGGAUGAAUCAAGUUCUAAAGCAGUAUUUGAGGUGUACCAUUAAUUAUCAUUGAUAUGAUUGGACAAUUCUUUUAUCAUUAGCAAAGUUUACGUAUAAUAAUUCAGUACAUUCUUCUACUCAACAAAUACCUUUCUUUGCCAAUUAUAGUUAUCAUCCAUGACUUGAUACUUUUGACUUUUUAAAAGUUUAUAAUCCUACUGUGAAAGAUUUAGCAAAUUAUUUAUUAGAGCUAUUUACAACAAUGAAGAUACAAUUAAAGGAAGCUCAAGAAUAACAAAAGAUCAAUGUAGAUGCCUAUUGCAAGGAAUAAUCACAAUUCAAUAUAAGUGAUAAGGUAUAGUUACUUUGUUGCAAUAUCAAGACUACUUGUCCUUGUAAUAAGUUGAACUAUUAUAGGCUGAAAUCUUUUCUUAUUUGUGAAGAAUUCAAUCAUGUUGCUUAUUGAUUACAUCUAUUGGAGUUUAUGAAGAUCCACCCUGUAUUCCACAUGUCCCUUUUUGGGCCGUAUAAGACAAUGAAUAUCUUAAGAAGAAGACAAAUGCCACCUCCUCCUAUAGAAGUAGAUAAUAAUCAAGAGUUUAAUGUGGAAGAAGUCUUAGACUGAAGGCGAUGCCAAAAUAGGUUGGAAUAUCUUAUUUAUUGGUACGGAUAUGAUAUUAGUGAACACACAUGGAAGCCAUCAAAGAAUUUUAUAAAUACAACAAAGAAAGUUGAAGCCUUUUAUCGAUGACAUCCAUCAAAAUCAAGAUGAAGAAUUAUAAAAGAUGAUGAUCGCUCUUUGUGGAACUCGUCCCUAAAAAAAAGGAGGGGUAAUAUCACAAAUAUAUACAAUUAUUCAAAAAUUUAUUUAUAUGAUUAGGUAGAAAUAGGUAAAUAUAGAUUAAUUUCAUAAAGUCUUCUAGAAAAGCUUCUUAGAAGCUUUAUAGACACAGUUUUGAUUUUAUGUGUGUUUGUAGAUUAGAAAGUUGGCCAAUAAAUUAACCAUGUAUUGAUCGCCUGUAGAAUAAGAUACUCCAUGUAGUAGCUUAUAGAAUAAGCUAAUUAUGUGGCGAAUAUAUAAAUAACUUGCCUUACAAGUUUAGAUACAUGUUUUAUAAAUUAACUUGUUUUGGAGGUUCUUUCGGAAAUCGCCACAUAGCUCCUAGUUAAGAGUAUAUAUGGAGGCACGAGCGAAGCCUUCUUCACCCUUGUCAAUGCCUUUCUAGUCCUUAGUCUUGUUUCAAGACUUUCUAGUCUUGAAACAAUAGCCAUUCUAGUUUAAUAUUACAUCACCUUUUGAGUAACUUUUUAGUUUUUUUCAAUGACAAAUGAGUAUAUUGAAGAUUUUCUUUCUUUAAGAUUCAUGUCCUUGAUAAAUAUAUAAGUUAUAAAAUAUAAAAAUUAAUAAAAGAUUGUAGAUAAUUACAAUGGUGUAAAGAAAAUAUUUUUUAAAUUAAAAAUUAAAAAAAUAUUUAAAGAGCUAUUAGAAGAUUUCAAGUUUUGUCAUGAUACAUUAUUUGAUUUACUUUUAAAAGAAUAUUCAAAGGUGUUGGAAGAUGUUAUAUUUGUAGGCUUUAAUUUUACAAUCAAUGAAGAAGUUAAAUGUAAUAAUGAACAACUUCACCAAAGAUUGUAUUAUGCAAGCAAAGAUAUAUAAUUUAAAGAUUAUGAUUUAAUAAAUCAUCUAUUUGCAAGAUUGAACUACUUGUGAUAUAUAGAAGGUAGAAAAAUUAAUAUUUUAGAAGUAUCAAGCAAUACCAAAAGUUUAAAGAUUAUAAAACCUAUUAAUGAAAGAGCUUAUGGAUAAGUUUAUGAAUCCAAAUAUUGAGAUUUCUAAGUGCAAUCAAAGUAAUGGAUGUUAGCAUGAAUAUACUUUUUAAAUAUCAAAUAUUAUUAUAUAGAAAAAAAAUCAAAUUAAAAUAAUAUUAUCUUAAUUAUAAAAAAUCCAAAUAAAGAAGUAUAUUUAGUCAUGGAAUUGAUGCAAAUUAGUUUGCACAAAAUAUUAGAGCAAAAAAGACCAAAUCCAUAUUACUUUCUUAUUGAUAUUAUGUAUUAAAUUGCAAGAGGAAUGUGCUAUUUGUAUGACAUACAAAUUAUACAUUGAGAUCUAAAGCUUGAAAAUAUCUUACUUAUUAUUAUAGAUAAUAAAAAACUCAACAAUAACUUCAUAUAUGCUUUUUUUGAAUUGAUUGAUUUAUGAACAUCUACAAUCAAUGUAGGAAGAAAUCCAAAUUUUAAAACUAAUAAGAAUAUAAAUGGAACUUUAUAAUACAUAGCUUCAAAGACAUUAAAAAAUAGAAUAGAAUCAAUAAAGAUAUGUGCUUUAGAAGUAGAUGUAUAUUCUUUUGUAAUGACAUGUUCUAAGAUUCUUUCAAAAAAAGAUCCAUUUGAUGAUAUUUGGGAUAUAAAAAAAAUUAUAUAAAGAAUUAAAAAAGGCAAAAGACCAAUGUUAUCUUCAAAUUGUGACAAACUUUCUAAGUUGUUUUAAGAAUGUUGGAAUUUGGAUCCUUGACAAUGACAAAAUUUUGUAAAUAUUUUUGAAAGACAUAAAGUAUUGAAAAAAAAAUACUUAGUGAAAAUUGAUGCAAUCAACAUACCUACUUUUGGAGCUUCUAAGAAACAAUUUUGUUAAAAGAAUUAACUAAAGAAUAUUCAUAAUAACAUUCUAUUGAUAUUUUUAAUAUUAAAAUAUUUAUUUCAUAUAUAUUAGAUUAAUUUAAAUAAUUUUGUGACAAUUUUAUUUAUUUAUGCAUGUUUUGACAAUGGUUUUAUGUAACAAUAUAAAUAUAUAGUCAAAUAAUUUUUAAAAAAUUUAAGACAUAUAAUGUGUAUUUUAUAAAUUGUAUUAUUUAUUUAUUUAUAUAAAUAUUUAAAUAUAAAAAUAUUAAUUUAUUGAUUAUUUUUUAAAUAUAAUAUAUAGAAAUUAUUUUUAAAUUUUAUAAUUUGAAUAUUUUACACAGAUAAUUAAAUAUGAAGAAAUAGUUUUUGGUAUGAAACAAUGUUUAUUGGAUAUUAAACAACUAUUCAAGAAAGAAAUAAAGAUAUUAUGUUUUGUUGGUAUAGGUGGAAUAAGAAAGACUUCAUUGGUAAAGGCCAUAUUUGAUAACAUAAAUGAUACAUAUAAUGUAUCAUGUUUUGUUGAAAGUAUUUAAAAUGAAGAUAAUAGCUAUACAAUAAUUUAAAAAAUAUUUAAACAAUUUAAUAUUCAAACAAAAUCAAAGACUUUAGAAGAAAGACAAGAGAUGAUAAAAAUAUUAUUAAUAAACAAAAAAAAUAUAUUGAUAUUGAAUGAUGCAAAGAAUAAAAUUGAAAUUAAUAAUGUUGUGCCUAUAAAUAUAAUAAAUUCUAGAAAAGAAAAUAUCGUAAUUGUGACAACACAAAACUCAAAGAUUGUAAAAAAUUGUCCAAUAAAAUUUUAUAUAAUAGAUAUUAAAGAACUUAAUGGAAAUACAAGUUUAAGGUUAUUUAUUAAUCAUUCUUCUAGAGUUGGUGAUAAAUUACCUAAAGAACUAGUAGAGUUUGGCAAACAAAUUAUGCAAUCUUACAAUAGACUAUCAUUGAAUUUGAAUGUUAUAGAUGCAUCUUUAGGAUGACAAAAGAGAUUGAGAUGUAAAGAACAAGCUUUACAAAGAUUAAAAAGAAGAAGGGAUUUAGAUGGAAAUAAAAAAAAGAUAGUGAUUAUAAACUUUGGGGUAUUUUAAAGAUAAACUUUGAUGUUUUAAAAACUAUAGAAAAAAAAAAAAUUUUGGAUUUUUUUUUUUUUUUUUUUUUUUUUUUUUGCAAUAAUGAGUAUCAAGGUAGUAUAAUGAAAGAAAAAAUAUUACAAAUAUAGAUCCAUACUAAGAAUAAUUUUAUUGAGUAAGAUACAAGCAUUAUUUUAAUUAUGUUAAUAUAUCAAUCAAUGAUAAAAAUAGACAACAAUGGAAUUAUAAAAGUGCAUGAUCGACUAUAAGAUAUAGGUCGAAGGAUUAUUAAAGAAGAAGGAGAACAUAAAGGCACAUGAAUUUGGAAUAUGAAUUUGAUACCAUAUAUUUAUAUCAAAGAUGAGAUUUUUAACUUUAAUAAAAAUAGCAUAUAUAAAAUUAAUAAUUAAAUAUAUAUAUAUAUAUAUAUAUAUUUUAAUGUAAAAUAUUUUAAGAUUUUUUAUAUUUUGAUUUCAAAGAAUAUUAUUGAUUUAAAUCUCUAAUCAUUUAUGUAUUGUACUAUUGAAUAAUUUGAAGAAGUUAUUUAUAAUACUCAAAUAGAAAAUAAAAUCAAUAAGAUAUAUCCUAAAUAUUUAAAUUUUUUUUCUUUGAAUAUUCGAAUAUGAUUUUUAUGAAAGUUGAAGUAAAGAUAUAUGCAAAAUAUUAAAAAUAUGUGUUUUAUUAUUAAAAAAUGCUAAUAAGUUAAAAUAUUUCUAUAUAAGAAAUCUAAUAAAAUAUUUUAUAUAUUAUUAGCUAAAAAAGUACCACUUUUAAUUUUUAAUGGAAAUUUUUGGAUAAUAUUUGAAGAAUUAACAAUUUUAAACUUAAUAGGUAUUAAUCUUACUAAAAUAUUGUCAGUUUAAAUAUUUAUUAUUACUAAAUUAUUAGAACUAAGACUAAAAUUUUUUUGGCAUUUGGAAAUUUCAUCUAGUAGAAUAAAAUAUCUUACUUCUUUAAAAAAAAUUAAUUCUAAAGUGUUAUACGUAUUUACUAAAAUUACCAAAUGAGUUAGUAAUUCUUAUUUCUUUGGAAGAACUUAACUUAUCAAGUUGCUGAAUCUUGAUAAGGUUUCCAAAUAAAUUAAAAUAUAUUUCUUUAUUAAAAAAAUUUAAUUUAUCAAAUUGCUUAAGCCUAACAAACUUGCCAAAAAAAUUGAAAAUUUUCUCUUUAUUAGAAGAACUAAAUUUAUCAAAUCAUUCUAGAUUAGUAAGUCUACCAAAUAAAUUUGAAAAUCUUUCUUCUUUGAAGAAACUUAAUUUAUCAUAUAAUUCAAGUUUUAAAAGCUUACAAAAUAAAUUAGCAACCAUUUUCUUCUUUAAAAGAACUUAAUUUGUUGCAUUGCUCAAGUUUAUUAAUUUUAUCAAAUAAAUUGAAAAAUAUUUGUUUUUUAUAAGAACUUAAUUUAUUACAUUGCUAAAACUUAAAAAGUUUUGCAUAAGGAUUGGCAAAUCUCUCUUUUUUUUUAAAAAAUAAUUUAUCAAGUUUUUUUAGUUUUAAAAACUUAUCAAAUAAAUUAAUAAAUAUUUCUUCUUUAAAAGAACUUGGUUUAUCAUCUUAUUCAACCUUGAAGAUUUUUCCAAAUGAAUUGAGAAUUCUUUCAUCUUUAAAGAAACUUAAUUUAUUUGAUUGUUUAAGUGUCACGGACACAAAAUACAGACUUGAAAUCUAACAAGAAGUUCAAGAAGAAGUGGCAGAACUAGAUUAAACAGAUGAGUACAAGAACAACACCAGAAAGGUGAGCUAGAACUCCAAGAGAUGUGUUGUCGAGACUGAAGAACCCUUCAGCCUCGACUCCUAUAUAUACUACUGAAUAGGAAGCUUCUCGAGCUACUUCCGCUAACUAGGACGCUUCUCCAACAACUUCUACUAAUUAGGAAACUUCUCGAGCAACUUCCUAGAAUCUAUCAGAAUAUUCUAGAACCUUCUAAGAGAAUCUUUAGGGAAUAUUAUAAGAAUCUUCUAGAACCUUCUAAAGGAAUCUUUAGAGAAUAUUCUAGAAGAAUAUUCGAAGAAUCUUCCAAUGUAUGUCCAUGACAUCACCUCCUCUUCUAACUUCGAGGUCUCCGAGAAGCAAUGUUGUUAUCAGUCAAUAUCAACGCAAGAAAAUAAAAAUCUGUCGCAUCACAUCCGCUAUGAAUUCCAAUUAUUGUUCGCGAGGCAAAUGAUUCAUCGACCCUUGGAGCCAACGGUAGUGACCAACACCUUCAACCUCUGACCAAGCGUGGAUUUCUGUGUCUUCAUUGUGAAACUGUCCUCCAAACACACCUUCUGGCUGACCGUCGUAGGCAGGCUCGACCUCAAAUACAAUUACUAGCGAUCUGUUGCUCGGUAUCCUCCGACGUCGUCGUGGUGCAGGCGGUUCUUCAUCUCGCGGUCGUCUUCGUGAGCUAGUCGCUUGAGAUGACAUAACAAGUGUAGUAUCUUGACUAUCCAUGUCCAAAGGCUAAAAUGAUGAGAGCAAACUAUAGUUGCUAAUAAAGUUCUACACUAUCGAACUAUGGGUUUUGGAGGUGCCCUCCCCCCUUUUUAUGCUACUUGAUGAGCAAGCUUCAGCAAGAAGCUAUCGUUGAAUCGGCUUAGGUUUAUGAGGAUAUCGUUGAUGAAAUUCUUGUACCUUUUUUGGUGCAUUGGCAAGAUUUUCGGCACGCUCCCACGUUCGUUCAUUGAUGUCGUAUCCACUCCAAUGCACUAAAUACUCCAAUUUUCUCCUAUUACGCCGUGAAUCUAGUACCUUUUCCACCUCGUAUUCCUCAUGGUUUUCAAUUUCGAUACUUGGUGGCGGACUUUGUACUCUUUGGAGAAAAGCUGACUCUUGAUAAGGUUCCAACAAAGACACGUGAAAGACUGGAUGUACCUUCAUAGUAGCUGGUAACUCCAGACGAUAUGCCACCGGAUUGAUCUGCUUCUCGAUAACAAAUGGCCCUAAUCUUCGAUAGUCCAAUUUGUCACAUGGCCGCUUGGUCUUGAUAUUUCGUCGAAGAAGCCAUACUUUACUUCCAACUUUAAAAGUAGGCGCCUCAUUUCGAUAUUUAUCUGUAGAUGCCUUGUAACUCUCUUGGGCAGAUUGCAAUUGAAGCUUCAACGUCGCUUGAAGCUCCGAUAGUUGCUUCACAAAUCCUUCAGCUGCUGGGUUGUUAUUUGCUGAAGAACUCAAUAAAUCGAGCUUGGGGUGGUAUCCGUAGUUGGAGAAGAAUGGUGUUUGUUGAGUUGACGCAUGAAGAGUGUUGUUGUAUGCAAACUCAGCAAGCGGUAGAUAUGCAGUCCAAUCAUCUUGUUGAUAGUUGAUGCUGCAUCGUAAAUAUUGCUCCAAAACUUGAUUCACCCGCUCCGUUUGACCGUCAGUUUGAGGAUGAAAAGCCGAAGAGAGCUUAAUAUACACCUUCAAUAUCUCAAAGAGGGACCUCCAAAACUUGGAUACAAACUGAGUACCUCGAUCCGACACGAUAUCAUCUGGUAGGCCAUGAUAACGAUAUAUGUUAUCAAGAAAGAGUCUUGCGGUGUCUUCACUUGACGAUGUUUUCUUGCAAGGCACGAAAUGCGCCAUCUUUGUAAAUCGAUCCACCACAACAAAGAUGCUGUCAAAUGAAUUCGAUGGCGGUAGGUCCGUAAUGAAGUCCAUAGAAACUGAAGACCAUGGUCGGUGCGGAAUAAGCAAUGGCUGGAGAAGUCCAUACGGACGAUGUCGAGGGAUCUUGGAUCUUGAACAAACAUUACAAGAAAGGACAAAUUCCUUCACAUCCUUCCACAUUUGGGGCCACCAAAAAUCUCGUGAAAUGAGCUCCAAAGUCUUGUUGAAUCCAAAAUGUCCCGCAGUUGGAAAGUCGUGGCGAGAUUGAAGUACUCGGAGUCGAGUUGGUCCUUUUGGGAUAUACAACCGCUCCUCAAA
Molecule: long non-coding RNA, 13550 nt
Filed under: Physcomitrium patens
Lineage: Eukaryota; Viridiplantae; Streptophyta; Bryopsida; Funariales; Funariaceae
Description: long non-coding RNA (PPAT_LNC011985)
Source: RNAcentral